GUCUACGGCCAUGCUACCCUGAACAAGCCCGAUCCCACCUGAUCUCGGAAGCUAAGCUGGGUCGGGCCUGGUUAGUACUUGGUUAGUACUAGGAAGACCAGGUGCUGUAGGCG
Molecule: ribosomal RNA, 113 nt
Filed under: Pteropus alecto (black flying fox)
Lineage: Eukaryota; Metazoa; Chordata; Mammalia; Chiroptera; Pteropodidae
Source: RNAcentral